This 492-nucleotide ribosomal RNA is filed under the name uncultured bacterium. RNAcentral describes it as "partial 16S ribosomal RNA". It matches the Rfam family "Bacterial small subunit ribosomal RNA", at positions 29 to 507 of the family's 1533-position model. The record is from RNAcentral.
AGUGAACGCUGGCGGUAGGCCUAACACAUGCAAGUCGAACGGCAGCACAGUAAGAGCUUGCUCUUACGGGUGGCGAGUGGCGGACGGGUGAGGAAUACAUCGGAAUCUACUUUUUCGUGGGGGAUAACGUAGGGAAACUUACGCUAAUACCGCAUACGACCUACGGGUGAAAGCAGGGGAUCUUCGGACCUUGCGCGAUUGAAUGAGCCGAUGUCGGAUUAGCUAGUUGGCGGGGUAAAGGCCCACCAAGGCGACGAUCCGUAGCUGGUCUGAGAGGAUGAUCAGCCACACUGGAACUGGGAAACGGUCCAGACUCCUACGGGAGGCAGCCGUGGGGAAUAUUGGAACAUGGGCGCAAGCCUGAUCCAGCCCUACCGCGUGGGUGAAGAAGGCCUUCGGGUUGUAAAGCCCUUUUGUUGGGAAAGAAAAGCAGCAGGUUAAUACCCCGCUGUUCUGACGGUACCCAAAGAAUAAGCAACGGCUAACUUCGUG